Molecule: ribosomal RNA, 468 nt
Filed under: uncultured bacterium
Lineage: Bacteria
Description: partial 16S ribosomal RNA
Rfam family: Bacterial small subunit ribosomal RNA
Source: RNAcentral
GACGAACGCUGGCGGCGUGCUUAACACAUGCAAGUCGAACGGAAAGGCCCUGCUUUUGUGGGGUGCUCGAGUGGCGAACGCGUGAGUAACACGUGAGUAACCUGCCCUUGACUUUGGGAUAACUUCAGGAAACUGGGGUUACUACCGGAUAGGAGCUCCUGUUGCGUGGUGGGGGUUGGAACGUUUCGGCGGUCGGGGAUGGACUCGCGGCUUAUCAGCUUGUUGGUGGGGUAGUGGCUUACCAAGCCUUUGACGGGUAGCCGGCCUGAGAGGGUGACCGGCCACAUUGGGACUGAGAUACGGCCCAGACUCGUACGGGAGGCAGCAGUGGGGAAUAUUGCACAAUGGGCGGAAGCCUGAUGCAGAAACGCCGCGUGCGGGAUGACGGCCUUCGGGUUGUAAACCGCUUUCGCCUGUGACGAAGCGUGAGUGACGGUAAUGGGUAAAGAAGCACCGGCUAACUACGUG